UACAGAGGGUGCGAGCGUUGUUCGGAAUUAUUGGGCGUAAAGCGCGUGUAGGCGGUGGGGCAUGUCGGGUGUGAAAGCCCUCAGCUUAACUGAGGAAGUGCGCCCGAAACUGCCUUGCUGGAGUGCCGGAGAGGGUGGCGGAAUUCCCGGUGUAGAGGUGAAAUUCGUAGAUAUCGGGAGGAACACCAGUGGCGAAGGCGGCCACCUGGACGGACACUGACGCUGAGACGCGAAAGCGUGGGUAGCAAACAGG
Molecule: ribosomal RNA, 253 nt
Filed under: uncultured bacterium
Lineage: Bacteria
Description: partial 16S ribosomal RNA
Rfam family: Bacterial small subunit ribosomal RNA
Source: RNAcentral